Molecule: ribosomal RNA, 301 nt
Filed under: uncultured bacterium
Lineage: Bacteria
Description: partial 16S ribosomal RNA
Rfam family: Bacterial small subunit ribosomal RNA
Source: RNAcentral
CAGCAGCCACGGUAAUACGGAGGGUGCAAGCGUUAAUCGGAAUUACUGGGCGUAAAGCGCACGCAGGCGGUCUGUCAAGUCGGAUGUGAAAUCCCCGGGCUCAACCUGGGAACUGCAUUCGAAACUGGCAGGCUAGAGUCUUGUAGAGGGGGGUAGAAUUCCAGGUGUAGCGGUGAAAUGCGUAGAGAUCUUGAGGAAUACCGGUGGCGAAGGCGGCCCCCUGGACAAAGACUGACGCUCAGGUGCGAAAGCGUGGGGAGCAAACAGGAUUAGAUACCCGCGUAGUCCCUGUCUCUUAUAA